This 750-nucleotide ribosomal RNA is filed under the name uncultured organism. RNAcentral's name for it is "SSU rRNA". It matches the Rfam family "Bacterial small subunit ribosomal RNA", at positions 730 to 1479 of the family's 1533-position model. The record is from RNAcentral.
UGGACGAAGAGUGACGCUCAGGUGCGAAAGUGUGGGGAGCAAACAGGAUUAGAUUCAGUGGUAGUCCACGCAGUAACCGAUGUCGACUUGGAGGUUGUGUCUCUGAGGCGUGGCUUCCGGAGCUAACGCGUUAAGUCGAUCGUCUGGGGAGUACGGCCGCAAGGUUAAAAAUCAAAUGAAUUGACGGGGGCCCGCACAAGCGGUGGAGCAUGUGGUCUAAUUCGAUGCAACGCGAAGAACCUUAGUAUGGUCUUGACAUCCACAGAACUUUCCAGAGAUGGAUUGGUGCGUUCGGGAACUGUGAGACAGGUGCUGCAUGGCUGUCGUCAGCUCGUGUUGUGAAGUGUUGGGUUAAGUCCCGCAACGAGCGCAACCCUUAUCCUUUGUUGCCAGCGGUCCGGCUGGGAACUCAAAGGAGACUGCCAGUGAUAAACUGGAGGAAGGUGGGGAUGACGUCAAGUCAUCAUGGCCCUUACGUCCAGGGCUACACUCGUGUUACAAUGGUGCAUACAAAGAGAAGUGACCUCGCGAGAGCAAGCGGACCUCAUAAAUUGCGUUGUAGUCCGGAUUGGAGUUUGCAACUAGACUCCAUGAAGUCGGAAUCGUUAGUAAUCGUGGAUCAGAAUUCCACGGUGAAUACGUUCCCGGGCGUCGUACACACCGCCCGUCACUCCAUGGGAGUGGGUUGCAAAAGAAGUAGGUAGCUUAACCUUCGGGAGGGCGCUUACCACUUUGUGAUUCAUGACUGGG